RNAcentral lists this ribosomal RNA (760 nucleotides) under Clostridioides difficile. RNAcentral describes it as "bacterial LSU rRNA". It matches the Rfam family "Bacterial large subunit ribosomal RNA", at positions 683 to 1451 of the family's 2925-position model. The record is from RNAcentral. Lineage: Bacteria; Bacillati; Bacillota; Clostridia; Peptostreptococcales; Peptostreptococcaceae.
UUUAACUGAGCGUUCAGUUACUUGACGUAGACCCGAAACCGGGCGACCUACCCAUGAGCAGGAUGAAGCGAAAGUAAAAUUUCGUGGAGGUCCGAACCCACGAGCGUUGAAAAGCUCGGGGAUGACUUGUGGGUAGCGGUGAAAUUCCAAUCGAGCCCGGAGAUAGCUGGUUCUCCCCGAAAUAGCUUUAGGGCUAGCCUCAAGGUGAGAGAUACGGAGGUAGAGCACUGAAUGUCCUAGGGGGUAUUGCACCUACCGAAGACUAUCAAACUCCGAAUGCCGUCAUCUUAUACUUGGGAGUCAGACUGUGGGUGAUAAGAUUCAUAGUCGAAAGGGCAACAGCCCAGAUCGUCAGCUAAGGUCCCUAAAUGUAAGUUAAGUGGUAAAGGAUGUGGGAUUGCACAGACAACCAGGAUGUUGGCUUAGAAGCAGCCACUCAUUCAAAGAGUGCGUAAUAGCUCACUGGUCGAGUGAUCCUGCGCCGAAGAUUUCCGGGGCUAAAACUUACUACCGACGCUACGGCAUCAGUAAUGAUGGGUAGGGGAGCUUCCCAUACGGGUUGAAGCAUGACCGUAAGGACAUGUGGACAGUAUGGGAGUGAGAAUGUUGGCAUGAGUAGCGAGAUGUGGGUGAGAAUCCCACAGGCCGUAAACCCAAGGUUUCCAGGGGAAGGUUCGUCCGCCCUGGGUUAGUCGGGACCUAAGCUGAGGCCGAAAGGCGUAGGUGAUGGACAACAGGUUGAUAUUCCUGUACUACCGAU